GGGUAUGUAGCUCACUUGGUAGAGCGCUCGCCGUCCGCGCGAGAGGACAGGGUUCAAAUCCCUGCAUCUCCC
This 72-nucleotide transfer RNA is filed under the name Marchantia polymorpha subsp. ruderalis. It matches the Rfam family "tRNA". From Rfam's summary of the family: Transfer RNA (tRNA) molecules are approximately 80 nucleotides in length. Their secondary structure includes four short double-helical elements and three loops (D, anti-codon, and T loops). The record is from Rfam by way of RNAcentral. Lineage: Eukaryota; Viridiplantae; Streptophyta; Marchantiopsida; Marchantiales; Marchantiaceae.